UACGUAGGUGGCAAGCGUUGUUCGGAUUCAUUGGGUGUAAAGGGCAGGUAGGCUGUUUUGCAAGUCCGGCGUGAAAUCCCCCGGCUUAACCUGGGAACUGCGUCUGAUACUGGGAGGCUUGAGUAUGGGAGAGGGAUGUAGAAUUCCAGGUGUAGCGGUGAAAUGCGUAGAUAUCUGGAGGAAUACCGGUGGCGAAGGCGGCAUCCUGGACCAUAACUGACGCUGAGGCGCGAAAGCUAGGGGAGCAAACGGG
RNAcentral lists this ribosomal RNA (253 nucleotides) under uncultured bacterium. RNAcentral's name for it is "partial 16S ribosomal RNA". It matches the Rfam family "Bacterial small subunit ribosomal RNA", at positions 524 to 776 of the family's 1533-position model. The record is from RNAcentral.